CCUGACGGUAGUCGUAUGCUCGUCUCCGAGACUAAGCCAUGCAAGUCCAAGUACACGUCCUUGAACGACGGAAACUGCGAACGGCUCAUUAAAUCAGUUGCGAUCUACUCGGCGUUUCCGCGCCGCCGGAUAACCGUAGUAAUUCUAGGGCUAAUACGUGCGAAGCGCCCGAAGCCGCGAGGCGACGGGCGUUCUCGCCGGAUGUAGGAACCACCGGGGACCGCCGGGGCAACCCGGCGCCCCCGAGACGGGGCGAACCACGGUGAAAUGACGGAUCGUCGGCCCCGCGCCGGCGACUCGCCGAAUGAGUUUCUGACCUAUCAACUCGAGACGGCGGGGUAGAGGCCGCCGCGGUAACGACGGGUAACGGGGAAUCAGGGUUCGAUUCCGGAGAGGGAGCCCGAG
This 405-nucleotide ribosomal RNA is filed under the name uncultured eukaryote. RNAcentral describes it as "bacterial SSU rRNA". It matches the Rfam family "Eukaryotic small subunit ribosomal RNA", at positions 13 to 400 of the family's 1831-position model. The record is from RNAcentral.